This 69-nucleotide transfer RNA is filed under the name Camelus bactrianus (Bactrian camel). It matches the Rfam family "tRNA". Rfam says of the family: Transfer RNA (tRNA) molecules are approximately 80 nucleotides in length. Their secondary structure includes four short double-helical elements and three loops (D, anti-codon, and T loops). The record is from Rfam by way of RNAcentral. Lineage: Eukaryota; Metazoa; Chordata; Mammalia; Artiodactyla; Camelidae. RNAcentral also lists the same sequence under 2 other names.
GAGGGUAUAGCUCAGUGGUAGAGCACGUGCUUAGCAGGAGGUCCUGGGUUCAGUCUCCCAGGACCUCCA